RNAcentral lists this transfer RNA (56 nucleotides) under Plagiorhynchus transversus. RNAcentral describes it as "tRNA-Ser". Lineage: Eukaryota; Metazoa; Acanthocephala; Palaeacanthocephala; Polymorphida; Plagiorhynchidae. The record is from RNAcentral.
GAAAACUUUAGGGGGACUACUAAUCCCCAGGUCCUAAUUAAUUUUAGGAGUUUUUG